CGAACGAGAUCCAUUCAGUAGCAAUACUGAUGAAGAUCUAGUGGCGAACGGGUGCGUAACACGUGAGGAACUUGUCCCGGUCUCUGGGAUAACAGUUGGAAACGACUGCUAAUACCGGAUGACGUCGGAACUUCGCAUGGAGUACUGACGAAAGGGUUACUGGAUCGGGAGAGCCUCGCGGCCUAUCAGCUUGUUGGUGGGGUAAUGGCCUACCAAGGCAUCGACGGGUAGCUGGUCUGAGAGGAUGAUCAGCCACACUGGGACUGAGACACGGCCCAGACUCCUACGGGAGGCAGCAGUGGGGAAUCUUGCACAAUGGGCGAAAGCCUGAUGCAGCAACGCCGCGUGC
Molecule: ribosomal RNA, 349 nt
Filed under: uncultured soil bacterium
Lineage: Bacteria
Description: bacterial SSU rRNA
Rfam family: Bacterial small subunit ribosomal RNA
Source: RNAcentral